GUAGGUGAACCUGCGGAAGGAUCAUUAACACGUUCCAAAACGUUUAUCAACCAAACGGUUUAGUGCAACAGUACUCCCUAACAAGAGGGUUAAGCUGCUCUUCUUCUUCUCCAGUGAUAGGUGGGUUCGCAAGGACUCGCGGAGAGACGUUGGGCUAGGGUCUCGAACCCAAGGCUCCUUUUGUUAGGCUUUUUCCCCCCUUUUCUCUAUCACUAACCAACUAACCACUUUCACCCCUUUAAAACAUUUG
Molecule: unclassified non-coding RNA, 250 nt
Filed under: plant metagenome
Description: partial contains small subunit ribosomal RNA, internal transcribed spacer 1, and 5.8S ribosomal RNA
Source: RNAcentral